This 58-nucleotide transfer RNA is filed under the name Ictidomys tridecemlineatus (thirteen-lined ground squirrel). Its description in RNAcentral is "Spermophilus tridecemlineatus (thirteen-lined ground squirrel) tRNA". It matches the Rfam family "tRNA", at positions 8 to 63 of the family's 71-position model. From Rfam's summary of the family: Transfer RNA (tRNA) molecules are approximately 80 nucleotides in length. Their secondary structure includes four short double-helical elements and three loops (D, anti-codon, and T loops). Lineage: Eukaryota; Metazoa; Chordata; Mammalia; Rodentia; Sciuridae. The record is from Rfam by way of RNAcentral.
UAGCUCAGUUGAUAGAGUGUUUGCCUUGCAUGCACAAGGCCCUGGGUUCAAUCCCCAG